CUUUACUGUAGCUUUACAUUGGACUUUGAACAGAUCUGUGUAGGAUAGGUGGGAGGCUUUGAAGCCAGGACGCUAGUUCUGGUGGAGCCAACGUUGAAAUACCACCCUGGUGUGUUUGAGGUUCUAACCUUGGCCCGUUAUCCGGGUUGGGGACAGUGUAUGGUGGGCAGUUUGACUGGGGCGGUCUCCUCCCAAAGUGUAACGGAGGAGUUCGAAGGUACGCUAGAUACGGUCGGAAAUCGUGUUGAUAGUGCAUUGGCAUAAGCGUGCUUGACUGCGAGACUGACAAGUCGAGCAGGUACGAAAGUAGGACAAAGUGAUCCGGUGGUUCUGUAUGGAAGGGCCAUCGCUCAACGGAUAAAAGGUA
This 367-nucleotide ribosomal RNA is filed under the name uncultured organism. RNAcentral's name for it is "bacterial LSU rRNA". It matches the Rfam family "Bacterial large subunit ribosomal RNA", at positions 2099 to 2465 of the family's 2925-position model. The record is from RNAcentral.